AUCUCGGUGCUUGCACCGGGUGAUCAGUGGCGAACGGGUGAGUAACACGUGAGCAACCUGCCCCCGACCCUGGGAUAACCCCGAGAAAUCGGAGCUAAUACCGGAUACGAGACGCACAGGCAUCUGUAGCGUCUGGAAAGAUUCAUCGGUCAGGGAUGGGCUCGCGGCCUAUCAGCUAGUUGGUGAGGUAGUGGCUCACCAAGGCGACGACGGGUAGCCGGCCUGAGAGGGCGACCGGCCACACUGGGACUGAGACACGGCCCAGACUCCUACGGGAGGCAGCAGUGGGGAAUAUUGCACAAUGGGCGCAAGCCUGAUGCAGCGACGCCGCGUGGGGGAUGAAGGCCUUCGGGUUGUAAACCCCUUUCAGCAGGGAAGAAGCGAAAGUGACGGUACCUGCAGAAGAAGCGCCGGUUAACUACGUGCCAGCAGCCGCGGUAAUACGUAGGGCGCAAGCGUUGUCCGGAUUUAUUGGGCGUAAAGAGCUCGUAGGCGGUUUGUCGCGUCUGCUGUGAAAACCCGAGGCUCAACCUCGGGCCUGCAGUGGGUACGGGCAGACUAGAGUGCGGUAGGGGAGACUGGAAUUCCUGGUGUAGCGGUGGAAUGCGCAGAUAUCAGGAGGAACACCGAUGGCGAAGGCAGGUCUCUGGGCCGCAACUGACGCUGAGGAGCGAAAGCAUGGGGAGCGAACAGGAUUAGAUACCCUGGUAGUCCAUGCCGUAAACGUUGGGCACUAGGUGUGGGGCUCAUUCCACGAGUUCCGUGCCGCAGCAAACGCAUUAAGUGCCCCGCCUGGGGAGUACG
RNAcentral lists this ribosomal RNA (804 nucleotides) under uncultured bacterium. RNAcentral describes it as "bacterial SSU rRNA". It matches the Rfam family "Bacterial small subunit ribosomal RNA", at positions 70 to 884 of the family's 1533-position model. The record is from RNAcentral.